CUACGUGCCAGCAGCCGCGGUAAUACGGAAGGUCCAGGCGUUAUCCGGAUUUAUUGGGUUUAAAGGGUGCGUAGGCCGUUUGAUAAGCGUGCUGUGAAAUAUAGUGGCUCAACCUCUAUCGUGCAGCGCGAACUGUUGAACUUGAGUGCGUAGUAGGUAGGCGGAAUUCGUGGUGUAGCGGUGAAAUGCUUAGAUAUCACGAGGAACCCCGAUUGCGAAGGCAGCUUGCGGGAGCACGACUGACGCUGAGGCUCGAAGGUGCGGGUAUCGAACAGGAUUAGAUACCCUGGUAGUCCGCACGGUAAACGAUGGAUGCCCGUUCUCCGGCUUUUUUUUGUCGGGGGACCGAGCGAAAGCAUUGAGCAUCCCACCUGGGGAGUACGCCGGCAACGGUGAAACUCAAAGGAAUUGACGGGGGCCCGCACAAGCGGAGGAACAUGUGGUUUAAUUCGAUGAUACGCGAGGAACCUUACCCGGGCUUGAA
This 484-nucleotide ribosomal RNA is filed under the name uncultured bacterium. RNAcentral's name for it is "bacterial SSU rRNA". It matches the Rfam family "Bacterial small subunit ribosomal RNA", at positions 501 to 985 of the family's 1533-position model. The record is from RNAcentral.